CUAGAGACCCAAAGCGAGGUACUAGCCAUGAAGGAACAGAACCAGGCUUUGCUGAAGGAGGUGAAGGAGGUGAUUGGGGCCCAAGUGAGUCACAGCCAACAGCCGCAGACAAAGCAGCAACUGGCCGGGAGCCACAAAUUGACCAUUGCCAACAAUCGUGUCACCAUUCUCCGCAACGUGUUGCAGGCUCUUAUACAAAGCAGUGGUAUCAAUUGGGCUGCAGAUCCUAACCUACUUGGUUUUUGUCCUGCAAAUGGGCAAAGACAAGAAGUUUUAACCGUGUUAAAA
Molecule: long non-coding RNA, 288 nt
Organism: Lethenteron reissneri (Far Eastern brook lamprey)
Lineage: Eukaryota; Metazoa; Chordata; Hyperoartia; Petromyzontiformes; Petromyzontidae
Source: RefSeq, a predicted model, not a curated record